ACCCCCAGCGCUCUUCCACACCACGCUCCACCAGAGCACGAUCUCUGAUAUUCUUCCAUUCCAAUCCUUCUUCAAUAAGAACCCUCUUGUACGACCUUCAUCUUCUGAUUCCUUUUCCUUUUUUUCCUUAAUCGAUUCGUGAUCUGUAAUUAGGAUAGUGCUUAGUCCGUUAAGUUGGCAGUACGCCUGUUGCAGAUAGCAUAGGCCGUACAAGCGGUACAAACGGUACGAACGGUACGAUCCGCAACCAAGGUAGUGCCUGGUUAACCGGUCGUACGCCCGUUACAACCACUGCUCAAGAAUCCAAUAUUGAUGAUCCAAUGUCCACUGAAAUAGCUUGGACUCAUAUGAAUAGAGGAGGCUUGUGUAGAGCUAUUCUAUGAGAAUAACCACUUCUCUGUAAUCCUCACCCCGGGACAAUUCUCAUUGAUC
This 432-nucleotide small RNA is filed under the name Histoplasma capsulatum. RNAcentral describes it as "hypothetical RNA". Lineage: Eukaryota; Fungi; Ascomycota; Eurotiomycetes; Onygenales; Ajellomycetaceae. RNAcentral also lists the same sequence under 1 other name. The record is from RNAcentral.